GAUGAACGCUGGCGGCGUGCUUAACACAUGCAAGUCGAACGAAGCACUAAAGUGGAAGUUUUCGGAUGGAAGCUUUGGUGACUUAGUGGCGGACGGGUGAGUAACGCGUGGGCAACCUGCCUCAUACAGGGGGAUAACAGUUGGAAACGACUGCUAAGACCGCAUAAUACUAUUUUUCCGCAUGGAGAGAAAGUCAAAGAUUUAUCGGUAUGAGAUGGACCCGCGUCUGAUUAGCUAGUUGGUGAGGUAAUGGCUCACCAAGGCGACGAUCAGUAGCCGGCUUGAGAGAGUGACCGGCCACAUUGGGACUGAGACACGGCCCAAACUCCUACGGGAGGCAGCAGUGGGGAAUAUUGCACAAUGGGGGAAACCCUGAUGCAGCGACGCCGCGUGAGUGAAGAAGUAUUUCGGUAUGUAAAGCUCUAUCAGCAGGGAAGAAAAAAAUGACAGUACCUGACUAAGAAGCCCCGGCUAACUACGUGCCAGCCGCCGCGGUAA
Molecule: ribosomal RNA, 498 nt
Filed under: uncultured bacterium
Lineage: Bacteria
Description: partial 16S ribosomal RNA
Rfam family: Bacterial small subunit ribosomal RNA
Source: RNAcentral